Molecule: long non-coding RNA, 386 nt
Filed under: Citrus maxima (pomelo)
Lineage: Eukaryota; Viridiplantae; Streptophyta; Magnoliopsida; Sapindales; Rutaceae
Description: long non-coding RNA (CMAX_LNC002271)
Source: RNAcentral
GCAAAAAGUUUACAUUCCAAUAUAAAUAUAAACUAAUUAUAUUGCAAAAAGUUUACACUUGUUGAGUUCCCUUCGAAUAUGAUUACAUACUGUAACCAUAAAUAGUUGUAAAUUAUGGACCCUAAUCUUACACAUGGCAAAAUCUUAAACUAGCAUGCAUUAGACUAAUUAUGCACUUGCAUGUACACGAUCAUUGCUCUCUUGAAAAUGGGAGAAAAAAACCAAAUCCAUGCAUUAAAUUUUCACAACCCAGAAUAGAGAAAUUUUAAACAAAAAAAAAGAGCUUCCACAUGACCACUGAACUGGCACCACAUCUUGUCUUUAUACGCAGUAGGAGCAGAAGCAGAGAAAAAACACUUUCAACACGCAACAGAACUUCCUCUUUU